GGCUUAGUAGUAUAGCUUGGUUAUCACGCCCGAAUGAAUGCUCUGGGAGACUAUAGGUUCAAAUCCCAUCUGGGCUU
Non-coding RNA from Chaetomium strumarium, 77 nucleotides. The record is from the annotation of a RefSeq genome assembly. NCBI's taxonomy places the organism in Eukaryota, Fungi, Ascomycota, Sordariomycetes, Sordariales, Chaetomiaceae.